Hevea brasiliensis (rubber tree) is the source of this 76-nucleotide small nucleolar RNA. RefSeq annotates it as small nucleolar RNA R21. The record is from RefSeq and is a predicted model, not a curated record. Lineage: Eukaryota; Viridiplantae; Streptophyta; Magnoliopsida; Malpighiales; Euphorbiaceae. The transcript has a single exon.
CAUAUCUGCGAUUCAUGUUAAUAAAUUUAAAGUAGUGGACUGAUCUCUAUUGAUGAUGUAGCAAUUCUGAGUGAUG